RNAcentral lists this ribosomal RNA (119 nucleotides) under Acanthosepion pharaonis. Its description in RNAcentral is "Sepia pharaonis 5.8S ribosomal RNA (partial)". It matches the Rfam family "5.8S ribosomal RNA", at positions 2 to 121 of the family's 154-position model. From Rfam's summary of the family: 5.8S ribosomal RNA (5.8S rRNA) is a component of the large subunit of the eukaryotic ribosome. The record is from RNAcentral. Lineage: Eukaryota; Metazoa; Mollusca; Cephalopoda; Sepiida; Sepiidae.
ACCCUGGACGGGGGAUCACUCGGCUCGACCGUCGAUGAAGAGCGCGGCCAGCCGCGAGAACUGAUGCGGAUUGCAGGACUCAGUGAACAUCGACACCUCGAACGCACAUUUCGGCCUCA